UACGAAGGACCCGAGCGUCAUCCGGAUUUAUUGGGUUUAAAGGGUGCGUAGGCGGGAUAAUAAGUCAGUGGUGAAAGCCUGUAGCUUAACUAUAGAAAUGCCAUUGAUACUGUUAUUCUUGAGUACAGUUGAGGUAGGCGGAAUGUGUAAUGUAGCGGUGAAAUGCUUAGAUAUUACACAGAACACCGAUUGCGAAGGCAGCUUACUAAGCUGGUACUGACGCUGAGGCACGAAAGCGUGGGGAGCAAACAGG
Molecule: ribosomal RNA, 253 nt
Filed under: uncultured bacterium
Lineage: Bacteria
Description: partial 16S ribosomal RNA
Rfam family: Bacterial small subunit ribosomal RNA
Source: RNAcentral